This 578-nucleotide ribosomal RNA is filed under the name uncultured fungus. Its description in RNAcentral is "eukaryotic LSU rRNA". The stretch from base 208 to 361 matches the Rfam family "5.8S ribosomal RNA". Lineage: Eukaryota; Fungi. The record is from RNAcentral.
CUUGGUCAUUUAGAGGAAGUAAAAGUCGUAACAAGGUUUCCGUAGGUGAACCUGCGGAAGGAUCAUUACCUAGAGUUGUAGGCUUUGCCUGCUAUCUCUUACCCAUGUCUUUUGAGUACCUUCGUUUCCUCGGCGGGUCCGCCCGCCGAUUGGACAACUUAAACCAUUUGCAGUUGCAAUCAGCGUCUGAAAAAACUUAAUAGUUACAACUUUCAACAACGGAUCUCUUGGUUCUGGCAUCGAUGAAGAACGCAGCGAAAUGCGAUAAGUAGUGUGAAUUGCAGAAUUCAGUGAAUCAUCGAAUCUUUGAACGCACAUUGCGCCCCUUGGUAUUCCAUGGGGCAUGCCUGUUCGAGCGUCAUUUGUACCUUCAAGCUCUGCUUGGUGUUGGGUGUUUGUCUCGCCUCUGCGCGUAGACUCGCCUCAAAACAAUUGGCAGCCGGCGUAUUGAUUUCGGAGCGCAGUACAUCUCGCGCUUUGCACUCAUAACGACGACGUCCAAAAGUACAUUUUUACACUCUUGACCUCGGAUCAGGUAGGGUUUCCCUCUGAACUUAAGCAUAUCAAUAAGCGGAGGA